RNAcentral lists this transfer RNA (69 nucleotides) under Palinurellus wieneckii. RNAcentral describes it as "tRNA-Gln". The record is from RNAcentral. Lineage: Eukaryota; Metazoa; Arthropoda; Malacostraca; Decapoda; Synaxidae.
UGCGCGUUAGUGUAAAGUGCACUAGGAUUUUUGGUAUCCUGAGAAUUGGUGAGAGUCCAUUGUGCGUAA